UGGGGAAUAUUGGACAAUGGAGGAGACUCUGAUCCAGCAAUUCUGUGUGCAUGAAGAAGGUUUUCGGAUUGUAAAGUGCUUUCAGCAGGGAAGAAGGAAGUGACGGUACCUGCAGAAGAAGCGACGGCUAAAUACGUGCCAGCAGCCGCGGUAAUACGUAUGUCGCGAGCGUUAUCCGGAAUUAUUGGGCAUAAAGGGCAUCUAGGCGGCGACUCAAGUCAGGGGUGAAAACUUGUGGCUCAACCAUAAGCUUGCCUUUGAAACUGAGUAGCUAGAGUAUUGGAAAGGUGGGCGGAACUACACGAGUAGAGGUGAAAUUCGUAGAUAUGUGUAGGAAUGCCGAUGAUGAAGAUAGCUCACUGGACGAUAACUGACGCUGAAGUGCGAAAGCUAGGGGAGCAAACA
This 405-nucleotide ribosomal RNA is filed under the name uncultured Leptotrichiaceae bacterium. RNAcentral's name for it is "bacterial SSU rRNA". It matches the Rfam family "Bacterial small subunit ribosomal RNA", at positions 355 to 774 of the family's 1533-position model. Lineage: Bacteria; Fusobacteriati; Fusobacteriota; Fusobacteriia; Fusobacteriales; Leptotrichiaceae. The record is from RNAcentral.